Molecule: RNA transcript, 4736 nt
Organism: Dunckerocampus dactyliophorus (ringed pipefish)
Lineage: Eukaryota; Metazoa; Chordata; Actinopteri; Syngnathiformes; Syngnathidae
Gene: stx1a
Gene name: syntaxin 1A (brain)
Exons: 12
Source: RefSeq, a predicted model, not a curated record
CAGUUUCACAGCCGACCAACCCCUCUGUUCUCGGCCAGCUGUCUCUCCAAGUGGGUUUUUUCAGCUACCCAUGUUUGACAGGAACCAGGAGAGCACAACAGGUUCUUACGAAAAGGUGUCCAUUGGUGGCGGAUCGAGGAAGUUGAAGGGUGUGUAAUGGGUUAACGGCGGAAAGGCCUCGGUCCAAUCAUCCUGUCAUCAGAACCAAAGAGCAGGAAGAACAAGAGGACCAUAAAUCAGCGGCCAGUGUAACCGCCAGACGCGCAUCCUCAACCCGCUUGUUGGUGCGUGUUGUCUCGGUGUCCGCUUCCAACAUCCUCUCCAUCACCAAAUAAGACAAGAGUGACAAAUUCCAGACGCCAUGAAGGACCGCAUGCAAGAACUUCGACAUGGAAAAGAGACGACCGAGGAGGAGGAUGAAGUGGCCGUGGGGAUGGAGAAAGGAUUCAUGGAUGAAUUCUUCGAGCAGGUGGAGGAGAUCCGAGGUUUCAUCGAGUCUCUGGCAGAUAAAGUGGAGGAGGUGAAGAGGAAACACAGCGCCAUCCUUGCAUCACCAAACCCUGAUGAGAAAACUAAAGCUGAACUGGAGGAUCUUAUGGCAGACAUCAAGAAACUGGCCAACAAAGUGCGCUCCAAAUUAAAGAGCAUUCUGCACACUAUUGAGCAGGAAGAAAGUCAGAAUAGGUCGUCAGCGGAUUUGAGGAUACGCAAGACACAGCACUCCACCUUGUCUCGCAAGUUUGUGGAGGUGAUGUCUGAGUACAACACCACCCAGUCGGACUACAGGGAGCGCUGCAAGGGACGCAUUCAGAGACAGCUGGAGAUCACUGGAAGAAAUACGACAAAUGAGGAGCUGGAAAGUAUGUUGGAAAGUGACAACCCAGCUAUCUUCACAUCGGGAAUCAUUAUGGACAACAUCACCCAGCAGGCCAUGAACGAAAUCGAGACGCGGCACAAUGAGAUCAUCAAGCUGGAAAACAGCAUCCGAGAGCUUCACGACAUGUUCAUGGACAUGGCCAUGUUGGUGGAGAGCCAGCUGUCGAGAACACAGCAGCACUCUCCACCUAAUACAAAAAGGGCGAGCUGGUGAACAACAUUGAGCACAGUGUCUUGGGAGCACAGGACCAUGUGGAGCAAGCAAAGAACAACAUCCCCAAAUGCAAGAAGUUCAAAAAGACCAACAAGCGGAUCUGACAAUCACGACUUUCUGUGGCCCCAUGAAAGUGAUCCUGAUAGGAGGUUGUAUCGCCGUGUUUUUGACCGUCCUCGUUGUUUGUCUGGCAGUGGGACUCAGUUAAGAAAUGACGUGCUGCUCACAGAACAAUCAAGCCAUGUGACUGUCAUAAAGAGGCCCAUUUUGCUGCUCACACGCUACAAAUGCACUUAAUACAGCACUGCUACAGAGUGCAGUCGGCAGUCCUGGAAAGAAACUGCCCUUAAAAAACUGUAUCGUCAAAUUGAGACCGUUUUCUGCUGCGCAUCGGUGUGCUCAUUCACACGCAUGUCACACGCAUUACUCUUUGCGUGCUUUCCCACCAACAGAAACAACCAGUCCUCUACAAUUUGAAGUUUUAUGCCAUUUAUUCGUUACAUACACACUCCGCAAUAUCUGUAUUUUCUUCCUGUUGUCCAUGCAAGUUCACGGUUUGGACAAAACUAUUGGGACACUGCUCUAGUUCAUCCCAAAGGUACCUGAAGCGGUGGCGAUCAUGAGGUUUAAGACGUAAUAUCUCACUAAAGUGAGUACACCCCUCACAUUUCAGCCAGCAUGUCAUCAUAUCUUCUGAAGGGACAAUAUCAUAUAAAUGAAACUUGAAUAUACUACUAGAAUAAUCAGUGUACACGUUGUUUAGCAGUAUAGAUUUACAGUACUAUCUUCUGAAAGUACGUCAACACACAGCUAUUGUUGUCUAGAUCAGUGGUCCCCAACCUUUUUUGACCCACGGUCCGUUUUGUGUUCCCACAAAUCUUCCGCGGACCGGGGCGCGCUAGGGGGUGGGGGGUGGGGCUUCGUACAUUAUAGCGAUCUAAUUUAUUUUAUUUAUUAUGUGUUGUGUAAAACGAAGACAUGAACAACAUCUGAAUGCCGACCCAUCAUUAUUACAUCGCUGUUUGACGUGUGUGGUAAAAGGCAGUGUGCUAGCAUGAAUUAACUUGAGACAAAUGCGCACAUUAGCACUCAAUAAGUCAUCAAAACGUACCUUUAUGCAUUCCCACAUAGUAUCAGCAUUUGACACCAAAUAUGAGGUGAAAGAAAAAUGGUAAAAAUACAGUAGUAGUAGAAAGCACACGCACAAUGGACAUGCGUCAAGUGAGCCGGAUGUAACAGAGAGAAUCCGGCCACUUUUCAAAAUAAAACAUCAUGGAAAUUAUUUUUUCUUUCUGUGCGGCCCAGUACCAAAUGAGCCACAGCCCGGGGGUUGGGGGAUCACUGGUCUAGAUAGCUGGCACUGGGGAGCUUGGAACUGGUUGACCGGUUACAAGAAAUUGUACCUGGUUGGGCCUACUUGAUACAAUAGAAAUGCAUCCGUUAGCGAGGCGAGUCAUGCUGAGACAAGUAGGUACACCAAAGCAGAUAACUGUAAAGAAUAGUGAAUAAUAUGAUAUGAUAUAAGAGAUGAUAAGAUAUAAGAGUGCAUAUUUUAUAAAUAACUGGAGGACAUCUGGUGGGAUGCAUUGUGAUCAUCUACAAUACAGUGGAUCCCUGCAUAUUUGCGAUUCAGUACUCGCGACCCUGCAAAUUCGCAUCUUUCUGGUCAAAAAUAAAUGCCAUAUGUAUAUGAUAUAUAAUGUAGAUCUUCAUUUAAUAAUUGAUAAAUACAUUUCAGGCCGCACGGUGGUCUGGUGGUUAGCAUGUUGGCCACACACUCACAGUCUGGAGAUUGGAAAGACCUUGGUUCGAUUCUCCCUUGGGCAUGGAGUUUGCACGUUCUCCCCGUGGGUGGGUUUUCUCCUCCCACAUUCCAAAAACAUGCAUGUUAGGUUAAUUGGUGACUCUAAAUUGAAAUAUGACCGUGAGUGUGAAUGGUUGUUUGUCUAUGUGCCCUGUGAUUGGCUGGUGAGCAGUCCAGGGUGUACCCCGCCUGUUGCCCGAAGUCAGCUGGGAUAGGCUCCAGCAUACCCCCGUGACCCUAAUGAGGAGAAGCGGUAUAGAAAAUGGAUGAAUGGAUAAACACACUUCAAAUGUAUAAAAACAUUUUUAUGGGUGUAUCAAUUACUUGUAUUUUUUUGCCAUUAGUGUGUGGUCUUGGAACGUAAUCCCGUGAAUAGCAGGGAUCUACUGUAACACCCUUGCAUGAUACCGACUUGGCUCACCACAGCUCUACUCACCAUUGAUGAUUUUUCAUAGGCAAAAGCAGGUAUUAUGAAGUAUUUCUUCUAGUAGCUGGGCAGCUGGCUGUCGGCACACAUUGACCAAGCAAAUCCACCAUUGUUAUUAUUUGAGGAAAUAAAUAACAAAAAUAAACGCGCAUGCUGACGUUAGCUCAGCGCGUUGCUCCAGAUGCUGCAUUGUCAUAUUAAUCUCCACUUUCCACAGCUUUCUCUUGAAUAAAAUGUCUCCUUAUCAAGGACUAAAUACAGGAGACUCUUUGUUCGUCAUUACUGUUGUUUACUGGUGUGUCUGCGUUCAAUGCCAUGAUAAUCCCAACUGCCUCAAAAACCGAACCAAGUAGAGCUGAGCCGCUACAGCGCAUUGUAAACACCACAUAAGAGCAAUGUCCUGAUGCUUUUGUCCCUGCAGUUUACUGUGUGUGUGUUUGUGUAAUGACACGUUUCUAACAUGUUUUCUUCUGGCCCCCACCUGCUGCCCUGGAUGGACUCUUCUUCUGUCUUACUGUAUUUACACUGAUUAGAAGAAAAUCAUGAUUAUUAUAUGCUGUGUCAUUCUGGGAAUCAUCAUUGCGUCUGCCGUUGGUGGUACGCUGGCCUGAAACCUCUGCAGACAGUCACGUUAGAUGCACACUUUCUGAUUAUUUGCCAUUUUCCACAAAUGCAAAGGUAUUACUCUAUGUUGGGGCACAGGGGGGGGGGCGUGUCACUUCGUGUAACGAUCCAUCAAUGAGUUGUUUCGGCAUGAGUUUCUAUUUUGUAAUACGUGCGGUGCUGCUGAGUAUUGUCAACGAUAUGAUGUUCCCCGAAGUGAAUCCAUGUAUGAAGAAUUUCUCAUGUAACACUAUCUUUACACAUUCCAAGUAUGACAUGUGUUGAGUUGUCUGUUUUGUGUGUUGGCUGAGGCUACUGUGGGGCCAGAACACCAGCAUUAAGUUUUGGCAUUGUACAUAAAUGUAUUUUGGAGAAACGUGUAUUCACACUGAAACAAGGAUUGGCACUGAAAACGAUUCCACAGAAAAAUAAGACAUUUUUUAAGAAAUGCAUUUUGGGAGGAUAUUUCUGUGUUUUACAAUGCCCGUCCUCAGAUUUCCACUUCAUGUGUACCUGCACCCUUCUCAAAGCCUCGAAUUGUGUUCACGUGCUCCUCCACUUGACACCGAAACACUGCCAUUAAGUUGAAAGUCAAAAGGAAAUUCAAUGUGAAAACCAGAAGAGGGAACACUGGAAAUAAAAGCACUGUCGCUGAAAAUGGUGGACAUAAAAGGGAAAUCCGAAGACUGACAAUGAAAAAAGAUCAAUAAAAAAAUAUCCAAAUGAAAUGUUGUAUUUUUGUAAUGUCUGUGUACUUUUUUUUUUUUUUUUUUUUUUUUUACAAUGCCAAAACUUCUUGGUAGUGUUCUGAA